This 29-nucleotide non-coding RNA is filed under the name Mus musculus (house mouse). Lineage: Eukaryota; Metazoa; Chordata; Mammalia; Rodentia; Muridae. The record is from RNAcentral.
UACACUGAGAAGUGUCAAGUCAGUUUCCC